Molecule: unclassified non-coding RNA, 372 nt
Filed under: fungal sp.
Lineage: Eukaryota; Fungi
Description: partial internal transcribed spacer region
Rfam family: Eukaryotic small subunit ribosomal RNA (bases 1-46)
Source: RNAcentral
AAGUCGUAACAAGGUUUCCGUAGGUGAACCUGCGGAAGGAUCAUUACAAAAGUUUGAAUUCUCAACUGAUCCUUUAUUCCCAUCGUCAUAAGGGCAACGUGCUUCAUUGGACGUAGCUUUGAGACUUUGGGACCAUGAUAGAUCAUGUUGGGGUUCUAAAAAACAACUUUUCAACCACAUUGUGCACUUGUUGAUUGUCCUUGGUGAGAUCACUCGAAUAGGGGAUGUUUGGUGUAACCACCUUUCCUCCCUCUUUGGGCCUCACCGCUUUUAUUAAACCAAUUGAAAUGUAACCAAAGUCUGACUACAAAAUUUUGUGUUAAAGACACUAAUAAUUUUAAACAACUUUUGGCAACGGAUCUCUUGGCUCUC